CUACGGGAGGUACCAGUGGGGAAUAUUGCACAAUGGGCGCAAGCCUGAUGCAGCCAUGCCGCGUGUAUGAAGAAGGCCUUCGGGUUGUAAAGUACUUUCAGCGGGGAGGAAGGGAGUAAAGUUAAUACCUUUGCUCAUUGACGUUAACCGCAGAAGAAGCACCGGCUAACUCCGUGCCAGCAGCCGCGGUAAUACGGAGGGUGCAAGCGUUAAUCGGAAUUACUGGGCGUAAAGCGCACGCAGGCGGUUUGUUAAGUCAGAUGUGAAAUCCCCGGGCUCAACCUGGGAACUGCAUCUGAUACUGGCAAGCUUGAGUCUCGUAGAGGGGGGUAGAAUUCCAGGUGUAGCGGUGAAAUGCGUAGAGAUCUGGAGGAAUACCGGUGGCGAAGGCGGCCCCCUGGACGAAGACUGACGCUCAGGUGCGAAAGCGUGGGGAGCAAACAGGAUUAGAUACCCCCGUGUC
Molecule: ribosomal RNA, 463 nt
Filed under: uncultured bacterium
Lineage: Bacteria
Description: partial 16S ribosomal RNA
Rfam family: Bacterial small subunit ribosomal RNA
Source: RNAcentral